UAACCGUAAGUGAACCUGCGGAGGGAUCAUUAAUGAAUGAUCAUCCUUGAUCUUCUUACCCUCAAACCACUGUGAAACACAAGAUGUGCUUCGACGCCUCUUGGCGUCGCCUUUAUGCUCAAAAAAUGUCUUUUUUUUGUCUGAAGAAUCCAAUAUCAAAACUUUCAACAAAGGAUCUCUUGGCUCUC
RNAcentral lists this unclassified non-coding RNA (188 nucleotides) under soil metagenome. RNAcentral's name for it is "partial contains small subunit ribosomal RNA, internal transcribed spacer 1, and 5.8S ribosomal RNA". The record is from RNAcentral.